Molecule: ribosomal RNA, 274 nt
Filed under: uncultured bacterium
Lineage: Bacteria
Description: partial 16S ribosomal RNA
Rfam family: Bacterial small subunit ribosomal RNA
Source: RNAcentral
AUACGGAGGGUGCGAGCGUUAAUCGGAAUUACUGGGCGUAAAGCGUACGUAGGCGGUUGGUUAAGUUAGAUGUGAAAGCCCCGGGCUUAACCUGGAAACUGCAUUUAAAACUGGCGAACUUGAGUUGAGUAGAGGGGAGUGGAAUUUCAGGUGUAGCGGUGAAAUGCGUAGAGAUCUGAAGGAACACCAGUGGCGAAGGCGACUCCCUGGACUCGAACUGACGCUGAGGUACGAAAGCGUGGGUAGCAAACGGGAUUAGAAACCCUAGUAGUCC